Molecule: ribosomal RNA, 18 nt
Filed under: Urvillea rufescens
Lineage: Eukaryota; Viridiplantae; Streptophyta; Magnoliopsida; Sapindales; Sapindaceae
Description: partial 26S ribosomal RNA
Source: RNAcentral
ACUCAUCGUCGCGACCCC